This 913-nucleotide ribosomal RNA is filed under the name uncultured bacterium. Its description in RNAcentral is "bacterial SSU rRNA". It matches the Rfam family "Bacterial small subunit ribosomal RNA", at positions 10 to 915 of the family's 1533-position model. The record is from RNAcentral.
AGUUUGAUCCUGGCUCAGGAUGAACGCUAGCUACAGGCUUAACACAUGCAAGUCGAGGGGCAGCAUGAACUUAGCUUGCUAAGUUUGAUGGCGACCGGCGCACGGGUGAGUAACACGUAUCCAACCUUCCGUUUACUCAGGGAUAGCCUUUCGAAAGAAAGAUUAAUACCUGAUAGUAUGGUGAGAUUGCAUGAUAACACCAUUAAAGAUUUAUUGGUAAACGAUGGGGAUGCGUUCCAUUAGGUAGUAGGCGGGGUAACGGCCCACCUAGCCAACGAUGGAUAGGGGUUCUGAGAGGAAGGUCCCCCACAUUGGAACUGAGACACGGUCCAAACUCCUACGGGAGGCAGCAGUGAGGAAUAUUGGUCAAUGGACGAGAGUCUGAACCAGCCAAGUAGCGUGAAGGAUGAAGGUCCUACGGAUUGUAAACUUCUUUUAUAAGGGAAUAAACCCUCCCACGUGUGGGAGCUUGUAUGUACCUUAUGAAUAAGCAUCGGCUAACUCCGUGCCAGCAGCCGCGGUAAUACGGAGGAUGCGAGCGUUAUCCGGAUUUAUUGGGUUUAAAGGGAGCGCAGACGGGUCGUUAAGUCAGCUGUGAAAGUUUGGGGCUCAACCUUAAAAUUGCAGUUGAUACUGGCGUCCUUGAGUGCGGUUGAGGUGUGCGGAAUUCGUGGUGUAGCGGUGAAAUGCUUAGAUAUCACGAAGAACUCCGAUUGCGAAGGCAGCACACUAAUCCGUAACUGACGUUCAUGCUCGAAAGUGUGGGUAUCAAACAGGAUUAGAUACCCUGGUAGUCCACACGGUAAACGAUGGAUACUCGCUGUUGGCGAUAUACUGUCAGCGGCUUAGCGAAAGCGUUAAGUAUCCCACCUGGGGAGUACGCCGGCAACGGUGAAACUCAAAGGAAUUGACG